GCCGAAGUAGCUCAGUGGUAGAGCAGUCCCUUCGUAAGGGAAAGGUCGGAGGUUCAACUCCUCUCUUCGGCUCCG
This 75-nucleotide transfer RNA is filed under the name Candidatus Blackburnbacteria bacterium RIFCSPHIGHO2_02_FULL_44_20. RNAcentral's name for it is "tRNA-Thr". It matches the Rfam family "tRNA". Rfam says of the family: Transfer RNA (tRNA) molecules are approximately 80 nucleotides in length. The record is from RNAcentral. Lineage: Bacteria; Candidatus Blackburniibacteriota.